UGGGACCCUAGUGGCGGACGGGUGAGUAACGCGUGGGUAACCUGCCCCAUACCGGGGGAUAACACUUAGAAAUAGGUGCUAAUACCGCAUAAGCGCACGGUACUGCAUGGUACAGUGUGAAAAACUCCGGUGGUAUGGGAUGGACCCGCGUCUGAUUAGCUUGUUGGCAGGGUAACGGCCCACCAAGGCGACGAUCAGUAGCCGGCCUGAGAGGGUGGACGGCCACAUUGGGACUGAGACACGGCCCAAACUCCUACGGAAGGCAGCAG
This 269-nucleotide ribosomal RNA is filed under the name uncultured bacterium. Its description in RNAcentral is "partial 16S ribosomal RNA". It matches the Rfam family "Bacterial small subunit ribosomal RNA", at positions 85 to 354 of the family's 1533-position model. The record is from RNAcentral.